UACGUAGGUGGCUAGCGUUGUCCGGAUUUACUAGGCGUAAAGAGCGCGCAGGCGGUCGUUCAAGUCGAGUGUGAAAGCCCCGGGCUCAACCUGGGAAUUGCAUUUGAGACUGAGUAGCUAGGGUGCGGAAGAGGGAAGCGGAAUUUCCGGUGUAGCGGUGAAAUGCGUAGAUAUCGGAAGGAACACCAGUGGCGAAAGCGGCUUCCUGGUCCAGCACCGACGUUCAGGCACGAAAGCGUGGGGAGCAAACAGG
RNAcentral lists this ribosomal RNA (253 nucleotides) under uncultured bacterium. RNAcentral's name for it is "partial 16S ribosomal RNA". It matches the Rfam family "Bacterial small subunit ribosomal RNA", at positions 524 to 776 of the family's 1533-position model. The record is from RNAcentral.